GAGUACCCGCUGAACUUAAG
Molecule: ribosomal RNA, 20 nt
Filed under: Sticta ciliata
Lineage: Eukaryota; Fungi; Ascomycota; Lecanoromycetes; Peltigerales; Lobariaceae
Description: partial 28S ribosomal RNA
Source: RNAcentral